Molecule: long non-coding RNA, 312 nt
Filed under: Gallus gallus (chicken)
Lineage: Eukaryota; Metazoa; Chordata; Aves; Galliformes; Phasianidae
Description: long non-coding RNA NONGGAT008171
Source: RNAcentral
CUUGUAUACUCAUGCAAUACGAGAAAUGUACUUGAGAAAUACAAGCUAAAGUUACGUGACAUGCUAACAUAAACGUAGGAAGAAUGCAGAAAAAUGAGAACAUAGUUUAUUCUCAGUGCACCACAGAAGAUGGCUGUUCUUUAUUCUAUCCCAAAUUUCAGUUACUGCCAGAUUUUUAAAAAUUAAUUCCAACAAAUGGCAAGUGUUUAAGAGGAUUGUUAAGAGAUUGAUCUAGACUAUUCUAUGCGAAGCAGAAAUCCACUGGGCUCCUUGAAGUUCUUUCUAGAUGUCUUUUCUGUAGCAGAAACAGUG